This 465-nucleotide ribosomal RNA is filed under the name Vreelandella stevensii. RNAcentral describes it as "partial 16S ribosomal RNA". It matches the Rfam family "Bacterial small subunit ribosomal RNA", at positions 338 to 795 of the family's 1533-position model. The record is from RNAcentral. Lineage: Bacteria; Pseudomonadati; Pseudomonadota; Gammaproteobacteria; Oceanospirillales; Halomonadaceae.
CCUACGGGAGGCUGCAGUGGGGAAUAUUGGACAAUGGGCGAAAGCCUGAUCCAGCCAUGCCGCGUGUGUGAAGAAGGCCUUCGGGUUGUAAAGCACUUUCAGUGGGGAAGAAAGCCUUGGGGCUAAUACCCUCGAGGAAGGACAUCACCCACAGAAGAAGCACCGGCUAACUCCGUGCCAGCAGCCGCGGUAAUACGGAGGGUGCGAGCGUUAAUCGGAAUUACUGGGCGUAAAGCGCGCGUAGGCGGUCUGAUAAGCCGGUUGUGAAAGCCCCGGGCUCAACCUGGGAACGGCGUCCGGAACUGUCAGGCUAGAGUGCAGGAGAGGAAGGUAGAAUUCCCGGUGUAGCGGUGAAAUGCGUAGAGAUCGGGAGGAAUACCAGUGGCGAAGGCGGCCUUCUGGACUGACACUGACGCUGAGGUGCGAAAGCGUGGGUAGCAAACAGGAUUAGAUACCCCUGUAGUC